UUUGAAAUAUCUCCAUAAUAAGCCAAAAUGACUUUGCCAACUUCGGCGGAAGUAGUUAAGACAGCCAUAUUUGACACUCGCGAAAACUAAUUCUUUGAAGCGAGCACUUGUUGUGACGUCAUGAGUUCAGUCUUAUAAAUAGUCGGGGCCAGCCUCUUGACCAUUUGUGUUGGCAAUCUUCAAAGAUUACGGAUACCAUCGUUAUGAUGCAGGUAUAGUACCUUAUGAUUACAACCGUCAGGGUACAAGAACCGUAAUAAGGUUACCGUCUCCCGGCAGGAACCGUCUUCUGCAUAAUAUAAACCUACGUUACCGUCAACCGUCAUCCAACACCCUCCGUCUACUGAUCUUCAUUACCAAAGAGAAGUUCUUCGAUUAUACAUAACCGUAAGGUAAUAUACAACACCUACGAUUCCUUCUUAAAGUCUUAAAUACCGUCAGUGUUCUGUACCGUCAAUAUAAAGUAAGGUCCGAAAUUACCGUCAGUGACCAGAAGAACCGUCAGUGUUUAAGUGAUAAAAUACCGUCAAUUAUAAGUCAUUAUACGGUUAUAGUACCGUUAAGUGUAUGAAUUGGUAAGCAAAGGAUGUGUUAAUAAUGUCUUAAAUACCGUCAGUGUUCCGUACCGUUAAUAUAAAGUAAGGUCCGAAAUUACCGUCAGUGACCAGAAGAACCGUCAGUGUUUAAGUGAUAAAAUACCGUCAAUUAUAAGUCAUUAUACGGUUAUAGUACCGUUAAGUGUAUGAAUUGGUAAGCAAAGGAUGUGUUAAUAAUGUCUUAAAUACCAUCAACUACUGGUGUUCCGUACCGUUAAUCUAAAGUAAGGUCCGAAAUUACCGUCAGUGACCAGAACAGUACAACCGUCAGUGUUUAAGUGAUUAAAGUACCGUCAAUGACCAUAAGGACCGUCAGUGCUUCAGUGAUUAAAAUACCGUCAUUAUUAAGCUGUUUUAAGGGUAAAGUGCCGUUAUGUGAGUGAAUGUGAAACGAAAGGAAGUGUUCAAUAUAACCGUCAGUGCUUUUUCAUGGAUAUACAAAUAUCUUAGUGUGGUAAUGUGUAAGAAAUUAAUGCAGCAAUAAAGAUCACAUGAUCUUAUCAAUAUCAGUGCUUCAUAAAUAUAAUUAAUGUAAAGUGUUACUACCAACGGAGAGGAACGUCGUCAGUAUUGGUUACCGUCAUCUUAAUUAUAUUCUAAGUAAAUACAUAAGGGAUCAUCAGUGUUUUAUUGUGCUUAAGUGUCAUCUUUAUUGUGAAUAACCGUCAGUAUAAGUGCCUUUUAUAAUCUGAUCCAUAAUCAAAUAUUUAUAAUUCUGCAAGUGUGUGAUGUCUUUAAUUACCGUAAAGUGUCAUUUAAGGAUAAAUAUAUAUACAGUGCUACAGUGUCGCCGAUAGGAAUGAAUUUCUAUGUGAGAACCGUCAACAAUUAUUGAGUAAGGAGUCUGUUUUUAACCUUAAUAAAGAAGUGGUGCUGUUGAAAUUCCCAACAACAUAUAAUACCAUCCGAGUUAAAUAUCGACUACAAAACCAUAUCGGUCAAUAUAUUAAAAUAGAAUUAUUUCUACAAGUGUCAUCAGUGUGAUUGGUUUUUUAUAUACUAUUCCAUCGCAUAUAUAACAAGUGUGUGGAAAUUUGCUCAUCGUUGAUAUCCAAAGUGUUACUUUACCGUCCAGUUGCAGUUUACCACUAUAUCUGUGAGAAGAAUCUAUACUCUACUACUUCUUGUGGUACCCUACCGUCUAUCUGACCAAUUACCGUCAGAUACUAUUCUUUUGGAGCUACCACCUCACUAUAGUUACAGGAGAGAUUGAGGAAGUAACAUUAUCGUCAAACACCUCAGAAUUUAACGUACAUACUACGGUCAAUGCAGUGCUACAAGCAGUAAUAAAAUCCUCUCAUUUCUACGGUCCCGUCAAAGGGGAUUAACUUAUGAUACUUAUCUCAUGUAUAUAUAUAUAUAUAUAUAUAUAAGUAUUGUUGAAGAGUACUUUAAAUAAAGAGAAACACUAAAAACUAUGGACCUUUUACAUAUAUAGAGUACUCCUUUUUCACUGAUGUUUAAAACCGGGAAGAAGAAGAAGUGUAAUCGCCGAGAUGAACAAAAGAUGAACACUUAGAUACCUUUAUUCUUAAUCAACAAUAACGUGAUAAAGUGACGUUGCUCUCUUACACUGGUGAAGAUGUUAUCAAGCUGACUUUUAACUAACUGACACUACCAUAAUCAUAUCAAAUUGAACAUAAACAUUCAGUGGAAUAACUUACAUACUAAAUAAGUGACUAUUUCUUUCACAUUUAUUAACUUAAGUUGAACUGAAGUAUUUUAUAGAGUAAGAAGGAACUCGUGAACUUUAUAUACAGAAGGAUACUUGUUAUUUAACAGAACAUUUAUCGUUAUAUUACCAUCUUAUACACUUACUCUUAAUAAUUACAAUAUGCUACCAUUUUCAUUGUUAAGGUUUCUAGUUAAAUAAAACGUGUUAAAUGUU
Long non-coding RNA from Ruditapes philippinarum (Manila clam), 2484 nucleotides. RefSeq lists it as uncharacterized. The transcript is spliced from 2 exons. NCBI's taxonomy places the organism in Eukaryota, Metazoa, Mollusca, Bivalvia, Venerida, Veneridae. The record is from RefSeq and is a predicted model, not a curated record.